RNAcentral lists this transfer RNA (77 nucleotides) under Brucella intermedia 229E. RNAcentral describes it as "Ochrobactrum intermedium 229E tRNA". It matches the Rfam family "tRNA". From Rfam's summary of the family: Transfer RNA (tRNA) molecules are approximately 80 nucleotides in length. Lineage: Bacteria; Pseudomonadati; Pseudomonadota; Alphaproteobacteria; Hyphomicrobiales; Brucellaceae. The record is from Rfam by way of RNAcentral.
GGGCCUGUAGCUCAAUUGGUUAGAGCCGGCGGCUCAUAACCGCUUGGUUGGGGGGGGUUCGAGUCCCUCCGGGCCCA